Molecule: unclassified non-coding RNA, 1115 nt
Filed under: Homarus americanus (American lobster)
Lineage: Eukaryota; Metazoa; Arthropoda; Malacostraca; Decapoda; Nephropidae
Description: rNA-binding protein lark-like, transcript variant X3
Source: RNAcentral
GCACGUGUGACGUCAGUGACGAAGCGGGAAGCGGCGUCUGUGCGGCCAUUCUUGAACUGCUCUCGGACGGUUUACACGUACGUCCUAGCUUGAGCUCAUAUAUUGUGUUUUGUAUUUUUGUGAGUCUACACAGUACCUACAGCAUUCAUAAUGCCUCCCAAGACAAAGAUUUUCGUGGGCAAACUGCCUCCAACAUGCAAGGACUUUGAGCUACGCAAGUUGUUUGAAAGGUUCGGUGAAGUUACAGAAUGUUCCAUCCUUGGAAAUUAUGCAUUUGUUCACAUGAAGACAGAAGAACAGGCAGCAACAGCUAUCAGGAAUCUUAAUAACUGGGAUAUGAAUGGCUUUAAAAUUAGUGUAGAGCAAUCAACUGGAGAAAAGCGUGCAGGAGGAAUGGGUGGUAUGGGAGGUCGUGGAGGUAUGGGUGGUGGUUUCCGUGGACGUGGAGGUCCCAUGAGAGGACGGGGCAUGGGCCGACCAGGUCCUUAUGACCGGAGACCACCCAUGGGUGAUCGUUAUGGACCACCACCCCCAGGCCCACCCCCAGCACCUCCCAUGAGAAAUGGUUAUUAUGAUGAUUAUGAACGCCGUGAUCGCCGUCCCCUUCCACCAGCAGGAGCCCUAGACCGCCGACCACCACCACCAAUGCCAAGAGAGCCAGCAUACAGGGACCCAUAUGAUCGCUAUGAUUCUUAUGACCGCAUGCCUCCUCCACCCAUGGGCCGCCGCACGCCGCCACCAAUGGACCGACGACCUCCUCCCAUGGGAUAUGACCGCAGGGACGACCCAUAUGGAGAUAUGUAUGGACCAAGGCCAGAGCGUGACAUCUAUGGUGGUGGAAGGGACAUGUUCCCCCCUCGUGGCCGAUCUCCACCCCGCCGUAGUCCUCCACGCCGGUACAACUGGGAAUUGGGUGACCAGUGAGGUUUGAUCCUCAUAUAGUGGAGAAGUUGAGGCUGUGAUGUCACAGCAAAAAUGGUUUGAUGGAACAUUCCUAUGCCGAUCUAAAUGCUGGGUCCAGCGUCCUGACCUGUUGGCAUUUGCCGAGGUUACCUGAAUGAUGGGAGUUGCUGAUGGUGUUGCUAUGUACAUUUUUAAAUAAAGUUUCAUAAAUA